Molecule: ribosomal RNA, 484 nt
Filed under: uncultured bacterium
Lineage: Bacteria
Description: partial 16S ribosomal RNA
Rfam family: Bacterial small subunit ribosomal RNA
Source: RNAcentral
AGUGAACGCUGGCGGCGUGCUUAACACAUGCAAGUCGAACGAGAACGGGCUAUAGCUUGCUAUAGUUGUCAGCUAAGUGGCGCACGGGUGAGUAAUGUAUAGGUAAUAUGCCUCUUACUAAGGGAUAACAAAUGGAAACGUUUGCUAAUACCUUAUACUCCUUAUUAACAGAAGUUAAUAAGGGAAAGAUUUAUUGGUAAGAGAUUAGCCUGUAUUGUAUCAGUUAGUUGGUGGGGUAAUGGCUUACCAAGACUAUGACACAUAACUGGUUUGGGAGGAUGAUCAGUCACACUGGAACUGAGACACGGUCCAGACUCCUACGGGAGGCAGCAGUGGGGAAUAUUGCACAAUGGACGAAAGUCUGAUGCAGCAACGCCGCGUGGAGGAUGACACAUUUCGGUGCGUAAACUCCUUUUAUAUGAGAAGAUGAUGACGGUAUUAUAUGAAUAAGCACCGGCUAACUCCGUGCCAGCAGCCGCGGUAA